RNAcentral lists this unclassified non-coding RNA (339 nucleotides) under soil metagenome. RNAcentral describes it as "partial contains 5.8S ribosomal RNA, internal transcribed spacer 2, and large subunit ribosomal RNA". The stretch from base 1 to 120 matches the Rfam family "5.8S ribosomal RNA", at positions 35 to 154 of the family's 154-position model. The record is from RNAcentral.
GAUGAAUAACGUAGCGAAAUGCGAUAAGUAAUGUGAAUUGCAGAAUUCCGUGAAUCAUCGAAUCUUUGAACGCACAUUGCGCCCCCUGGUAUUCCGGGGGGCAUGCCUGUCCGAGCGUCAUUGCAACCCUCAAGCGCGGCUUGUGUGUUGGGCUUCGUCCCCCCGUGGACGUGCCCGAAAGGCAGUGGCGGCGUCCCGAAUGGUGCCCGAGCGUAUGGGAACUCUCUUCCGCUCGAACCGGCCCAUUCGGCGCUGGUCGAACCCCAAUUUUUUUUUACCGGUUGACCUCGGAUCAGGUAGGGAUACCCGCUGAACUUAAGCAUAUCAAUAAGCGGAGGA